This is a non-coding RNA of Pelodiscus sinensis (Chinese soft-shelled turtle), 2218 nucleotides long. Lineage: Eukaryota; Metazoa; Chordata; Testudines; Trionychidae. The record is from RefSeq and is a predicted model, not a curated record.
CCUCACCCCGGCAGGCUGCCCCCCACCCCCGAAAGCUCCAUACAAAGAGUUGAACCAAAAACCUCCUUCGUCUUUAAAGAGCACAAGGAAACCCAAGAGCCAAGGAAUAACACUGCUGCCAAUGGGGCCAGGUACCAUCUCACACCUGGGGCGUCCUUCGUCGGCCAAUCGCACCGCAGUGCCCAGGGUAGCUAGGCAACGGCCGGUCCAAUCGCAACGCGCCCUUCCAGGUUUGGAGGGGCGGGGCGGGGCCACAAGAGACAAGGUGGUGGUGGAGGAACCUAGCGCUGGUGUCCCAGAAGGAGAGAGGGCAAAGACAGGAGCCACCCGCUGGCAGGGGGCUGGGUGGAGAGUCCCAAGAGAGCGGGCAGCCGGGGGGCCACGGUCCUGGCUGGCACAGUCCGGAGCAUAACGGAGCCCCCGGGGCGGGAGCUGGUUGGAGCAACUGCUGAGAGCAACGGAGACCCCAGAGGUGGAGGUCCUGGCAGAGUCCGGAGAGCAACGGAGCUCCUGGGGCGGAGGAGACCCCCAGGGCGGAGGUCGUGGCUGGCGGAGUCCGGUGCCCCCGGGGCAGAGGAGGACCCCAGGGCGGAGGUCGUGGAUGGCGGAGUCCGGCGCCCCCGGGGCAGAGGAGGACCCCAGGGCGGAGGUCGUGGAUGGCGGAGUCCGGCGCCCCCGGGGCAGAGGAGGACCCCAGGGCGGAGGUCGUGGAUGGCGGAGUCCGGCGCCCCCGGGGCAGAGGAGGACCCCAGGGCGGAGGUCGUGGAUGGCGGAGUCCGGCGCCCCCGGGGCAGAGGAGGACCCCAGGGCGGAGGUCGUGGAUGGCGGAGUCCGGCGCCCCCGGGGCAGAGGAGGACCCCAGGGCGGAGGUCGUGGAUGGCGGAGUCCGGCGCCCCCGGGGCAGAGGAGGACCCCAGGGCGGAGGUCGUGGAUGGCGGAGUCCGGCGCCCCCGGGGCAGAGGAGGACCCCAGGGCGGAGGUCGUGGAUGGCGGAGUCCGGCGCCCCCGGGGCAGAGGAGGACCCCAGGGCGGAGGUCGUGGAUGGCGGAGUCCGGCGCCCCCGGGGCAGAGGAGGACCCCAGGGCGGAGGUCGUGGAUGGCGGAGUCCGGCGCCCCCGGGGCAGAGGAGGACCCCAGGGCGGAGGUCGUGGAUGGCGGAGUCCGGCGCCCCCGGGGCAGAGGAGGACCCCAGGGCGGAGGUCGUGGAUGGCGGAGUCCGGCGCCCCCGGGGCAGAGGAGGACCCCAGGGCGGAGGUCGUGGAUGGCGGAGUCCGGCGCCCCCGGGGCAGAGGAGGACCCCAGGGCGGAGGUCGUGGAUGGCGGAGUCCGGCGCCCCCGGGGCAGAGGAGGACCCCAGGGCGGAGGUCGUGGAUGGCGGAGUCCGGCGCCCCCGGGGAGCUGCAGCGUUGCAGGGAUGCCGGAGAAGCGAAGGUCUUCAGCACUUAUCCCAGGCGAGUUCUGUCCCCGGGGCCCAGAGCAAGUGCCCAGGGGCUGGGAGUCCUUGAAGCGCGCCCCAAGAGCCGCAGAGACCCCCGCAGGCUGGAGGAGCACCCCGGGUCCUGGCACGCUCUGGAGAGCAACGGCCCAGGGCAGGGAGAUCACGGGAGCAGCUGAGUUCUACCCGCAGGGCUGGAGUCUUUGGAGCAAGUCCGGGGCGAGGCAGGGCCCCAGGAAGGGAAGCUCAAGAGCUCGUUCUGCCCCCGGGGGCCGGAGGACCCUGCAGCAGGUCCCAAGAGCAGGGCACCAGGGUCCGGAGGUCCUUGGCGUAGGUCCCACGAGAACAGGAACCGCUGGCGGCAGACCCAUUGGUACAGGUCCUGCAGCUAGACCCCCAGGUGGUAAGAGAGGGGUCUGCAGCAAAUCCGUCGGCCUGGAGAGCCAGGGGCUGGAAGUGACCCCCAAGUCCUUGGACAGUCCCAUCAGCCUGGGGCCCCCGACAGCAAAGGUUCACGAGCAGCAGGCCUGGCGGCCCCAUGUGCCGACAGCACCCCGGCAGCGCUGCCUGCCCCACGAGGCCGGGAACUCGGGGGCUCGCGCUCCCCUCCCCCCGCCCGCUCUCUGUCUCUCUCUCCGUGUCUCUCUGGCGCGUGCGCCCGCUGGGCCGGAUGCUCUUUAAAAACGUGGAUCAGAACAGAGGAGUCCAGAGGAGAAGGUCAACGGGGGGAUGGGGUGGGGCGCGGGGGGGUCCCCGGCUGCGGGGGCGGGGGUGCCCCCGGCC